RNAcentral lists this ribosomal RNA (253 nucleotides) under uncultured bacterium. RNAcentral describes it as "partial 16S ribosomal RNA". It matches the Rfam family "Bacterial small subunit ribosomal RNA", at positions 524 to 776 of the family's 1533-position model. The record is from RNAcentral. RNAcentral also lists the same sequence under 1 other name.
UACGGGGGGGGCAAGCGUUGUUCGGAAUUACUGGGCGUAAAGGGCGCGUAGGCGGCCAACUAAGUCGGAUGUGAAAUCCCCAGGCUCAACUUGGGAACUGCAUCCGAUACUGGUCGGCUUGAAUCCGGGAGAGGGAUGCAGAAUUCCAGGUGUAGCGGUGAAAUGCGUAGAUAUCUGGAGGAAUACCGGUGGCGAAGGCGGCAUCCUGGACCGGCAUUGACGCUGAUGUGCGAAAGCCAGGGGAGCAAACGGG